UUAUACAGCGAAACUGCGAAUGGCUCAUUAUAUAAGUUAUCGUUUAUUUGAUAAUACUUUACUACUUGGAUAACCGUGGUAAUUCUAGAGCUAAUACAUGCUAAAAAUCCCGACUUCGGAAGGGUUGUAUUUAUUAGAUUAAAAACCAAUGCCCUCUGGGCUCUCUGGUGAAUCAUAAUAACUUGUCGAAUCGACAGGCCUUGUGCCGGCGAUGGCUCAUUCAAAUUUCUUCCCUAUCAACUUUCGAUGUUUGGGUAUUGGCCAAACAUGGUGGCAACGGGUAACGGAGGGUUAGGGCUCGACCCCGGAGAAGGAGCCUGAGAAACGGCUACUACAUCCAAGGAAGGCAGCAGGCGCGCAAAUUACCCAAUCCCGACACGGGGAGGUAGUGACAAUAAAUACUGAUACAGGGCUCUUUUGGGUCUUGUAAUCGGAAUGAGUACAAUUUAAAUCCCUUAACGAGGAACAAUUGGAGGGCAAGUCUGGUGCCAGCAGCCGCGGUAAUUCCAGCUCCAAUAGCGUAUAUUAAAGUUGUUGUGGUUAAAAAGCUCGUAGUUGAACCUUGGGCCUGGCUGGCCGGUCCGCCUCACCGCGUGCACUGGUCCGGCCGGGCCUUUCCCUCUGUGGAACCCCAUGCCCUUCACUGGGUGUGGCGGGGAAACAGGACUUUUACUUUGAAAAAAUUAGAGUGCUCCAGGCAGGCCUAUGCUCGAAUACAUUAGCAUGGAAUAAUAAAAUAGGACGUGCGGUUCUAUUUUGUUGGUUUCUAGGACCGCCGUAAUGAUUAAUAGGGACAGUCGGGGGCAUCAGUAUUCAAUUGUCAGAGGUGAAAUUCUUGGAUUUAUUGAAGACUAACUACUGCGAAAGCAUUUGCCAAGGAUGUUUUCAUUAAUCAGGAACGAAAGUUAGGGGAUCGAAGACGAUCAGAUACCGUCGUAGUCUUAACCAUAAACUAUGCCGACUAGGGAUCGGACGAUGUUAUAUUUUUGACGCGUUCGGCACCUUACGAGAAAUCAAAGUGCUUGGGCU
RNAcentral lists this ribosomal RNA (1029 nucleotides) under [Verticillium] incurvum. RNAcentral's name for it is "SSU rRNA". It matches the Rfam family "Eukaryotic small subunit ribosomal RNA", at positions 74 to 1113 of the family's 1831-position model. Lineage: Eukaryota; Fungi; Ascomycota; Sordariomycetes; Hypocreales. The record is from RNAcentral.